AUGAACGCUAGCGGCAGGCUUAACACAUGCAAGUCGAGGGGCAGCAUACCCAGCAAUGGGUGAUGGCGACCGGCGGAAGGGUGCGUAACGCGUGAGCAACAUGCCCAUAUCAGUGGGAUAAUCCAGGGAAACUUGGUCUAAUACCACAUAGUAUCUUUUAGAGACAUCUUUAAAAGAUUAAAGAUUUAUCGGAUAUGGAUUGGCUCGCGUGACAUUAGCUGGAUGGUAGGGUAACGGCCUACCAUGGCAAUGAUGUCUAGGGGUUCUGAGAGGAAGGUCCCCCACACUGGAACUGAGACACGGUCCAGACUCCUACGGGAGGCAGCAGUGAGGAAUAUUGGACAAUGGAUGGAAAUCUGAUCCAGCCAUGCCGCGUGCAGGAAGAAGGUCCUAUGGAUUGUAAACUGCUUUUGUACGGGAGCAAUAAGGGCUAUGCGUAGUUCGAUGAGAGUACCGUACGAAUAAGGAUCGGCUAACUCCGUG
This 483-nucleotide ribosomal RNA is filed under the name uncultured bacterium. RNAcentral's name for it is "bacterial SSU rRNA". It matches the Rfam family "Bacterial small subunit ribosomal RNA", at positions 29 to 507 of the family's 1533-position model. The record is from RNAcentral.